RNAcentral lists this ribosomal RNA (203 nucleotides) under Pseudomonas putida. RNAcentral describes it as "partial 16S ribosomal RNA". It matches the Rfam family "Bacterial small subunit ribosomal RNA", at positions 1 to 214 of the family's 1533-position model. The record is from RNAcentral. Lineage: Bacteria; Pseudomonadati; Pseudomonadota; Gammaproteobacteria; Pseudomonadales; Pseudomonadaceae.
GAACUGAAGAGUUUGAUCAUGGCUCAGAUUGAACGCUGGCGGCAGGCCUAACACAUGCAAGUCGAGCGGAUGAGAAGAGCUUGCUCUUCGAUUCAGCGGCGGACGGGUGAGUAAUGCCUAGGAAUCUGCCUGGUAGUGGGGGACAACGUUUCGAAAGGAACGCUAAUACCGCAUACGUCCUACGGGAGAAAGCAGGGGACCUU